This 22-nucleotide non-coding RNA is filed under the name Arabidopsis thaliana (thale cress). The record is from RNAcentral. Lineage: Eukaryota; Viridiplantae; Streptophyta; Magnoliopsida; Brassicales; Brassicaceae.
UUAUGCUACGAACUGAUGAGUC